RNAcentral lists this ribosomal RNA (247 nucleotides) under uncultured bacterium. RNAcentral describes it as "partial 16S ribosomal RNA". It matches the Rfam family "Bacterial small subunit ribosomal RNA", at positions 523 to 769 of the family's 1533-position model. The record is from RNAcentral.
AUACGUAGGUGGCGAGCGUUGUCCGGAAUUAUUGGGCGUAAAGCGCGCGCAGGCGGGAAAGUAAGUCUACUCUAAAAAGUGCGGGGCUCAACCCCGUGAUGGGGUGGAAACUGCUUUUCUUGAGUGCCGGAGAGGAAAGCGGAAUUCCCAGUGUAGCGGUGAAAUGCGUAGAUAUUGGGAGGAACACCAGUGGCGAAGGCGGCUUUCUGGACGGUGUCUGACGCUGAGGCGCGAAAGCGUGGGGAGC